This 1372-nucleotide ribosomal RNA is filed under the name uncultured bacterium. Its description in RNAcentral is "bacterial SSU rRNA". It matches the Rfam family "Bacterial small subunit ribosomal RNA", at positions 28 to 1381 of the family's 1533-position model. The record is from RNAcentral.
GAUGAACGCUGGCGGCGUGCCUAAUACAUGCAAGUCGAGCGAACGGACGAGAAGCUUGCUUCUCUGAUGUUAGCGGCGGACGGGUGAGUAACACGUGGAUAACCUACCUAUAAGACUGGGAUAACUUCGGGAAACCGGAGCUAAUACCGGAUAAUAUUUUGAACCGCAUGGUUCAAAAGUGAAAGACGGUCUUGCUGCCACUUAUAGAUGGAUCCGCGCUGCAUUAGCUAGUUGGUAAGGUAACGGCUUACCAAGGCAACGAUGCAUAGCCGACCUGAGAGGGUGAUCGGCCACACUGGAACUGAGACACGGUCCAGACUCCUACGGGAGGCAGCAGUAGGGAAUCUUCCGCAAUGGGCGAAAGCCUGACGGAGCAACGCCGCGUGAGUGAUGAAGGUCUUCGGAUCGUAAAACUCUGUUAUUAGGGAAGAACAUAUGUGUAAGUAACUGUGCACAUCUUGACGGUACCUAAUCAGAAAGCCACGGCUAACUACGUGCCAGCAGCCGCGGUAAUACGUAGGUGGCAAGCGUUAUCCGGAAUUAUUGGGCGUAAAGCGCGCGUAGGCGGUUUUUUAAGUCUGAUGUGAAAGCCCACGGCUCAACCGUGGAGGGUCAUUGGAAACUGGAAAACUUGAGUGCAGAAGAGGAAAGUGGAAUUCCAUGUGUAGCGGUGAAAUGCGCAGAGAUAUGGAGGAACACCAGUGGCGAAGGCGACUUUCUGGUCUGUAACUGACGCUGAUGUGCGAAAGCGUGGGGAUCAAACAGGAUUAGAUACCCUGGUAGUCCACGCCGUAAACGAUGAGUGCUAAGUGUUAGGGGGUUUCCGCCCCUUAGUGCUGCAGCUAACGCAUUAAGCACUCCGCCUGGGGAGUACGACCGCAAGGUUGAAACUCAAAGGAAUUGACGGGGACCCGCACAAGCGGUGGAGCAUGUGGUUUAAUUCGAAGCAACGCGAAGAACCUUACCAAAUCUUGACAUCCUUUGACAACUCUAGAGAUAGAGCCUUCCCCUUCGGGGGACAAAGUGACAGGUGGUGCAUGGUUGUCGUCAGCUCGUGUCGUGAGAUGUUGGGUUAAGUCCCGCAACGAGCGCAACCCUUAAGCUUAGUUGCCAUCAUUAAGUUGGGCACUCUAAGUUGACUGCCGGUGACAAACCGGAGGAAGGUGGGGAUGACGUCAAAUCAUCAUGCCCCUUAUGAUUUGGGCUACACACGUGCUACAAUGGACAAUACAAAGGGCAGCGAAACCGCGAGGUCAAGCAAAUCCCAUAAAGUUGUUCUCAGUUCGGAUUGUAGUCUGCAACUCGACUACAUGAAGCUGGAAUCGCUAGUAAUCGUAGAUCAGCAUGCUACGGUGAAUACGUUCCCGGGUCU